This 354-nucleotide ribosomal RNA is filed under the name Bacillus cereus. RNAcentral's name for it is "bacterial SSU rRNA". It matches the Rfam family "Bacterial small subunit ribosomal RNA", at positions 470 to 823 of the family's 1533-position model. The record is from RNAcentral. Lineage: Bacteria; Bacillati; Bacillota; Bacilli; Caryophanales; Bacillaceae.
UGACGGUACCUAACCAGAAAGCCACGGCUAACUACGUGCCAGCAGCCGCGGUAAUACGUAGGUGGCAAGCGUUAUCCGGAAUUAUUGGGCGUAAAGCGCGCGCAGGUGGUUUCUUAAGUCUGAUGUGAAAGCCCACGGCUCAACCGUGGAGGGUCAUUGGAAACUGGGAGACUUGAGUGCAGAAGAGGAAAGUGGAAUUCCAUGUGUAGCGGUGAAAUGCGUAGAGAUAUGGAGGAACACCAGUGGCGAAGGCGACUUUCUGGUCUGUAACUGACACUGAGGCGCGAAAGCGUGGGGAGCAAACAGGAUUAGAUACCCUGGUAGUCCACGCCGUAAACGAUGAGUGCUAAGUGU